RNAcentral lists this ribosomal RNA (253 nucleotides) under uncultured bacterium. RNAcentral describes it as "partial 16S ribosomal RNA". It matches the Rfam family "Bacterial small subunit ribosomal RNA", at positions 524 to 776 of the family's 1533-position model. The record is from RNAcentral.
UACGAAGGGAGCGAGCGUUAUUCGGAAUCACUGGGCUUAAAGCGUGCGUAGGCGGACUUAUAAGUCAGAAGUGAAAUCCCAGGGCUUAACCUUGGAAUUGCUUUUGAGACUGCAAGUCUAGAAUUCGGUAGAGGUUAGUGGAAUGUCCAGUGUAGAGGUGAAAUUCGCAGAUAUUGGACGGAACACCAGUGGCGAAGGCGACUAACUGGGCCGAUAUUGACGCUGAGGUACGAAAGCGUGGGUAGCAAACAGG